UACGUAGGUGGCGAGCGUUGUCCGGAUUUACUGGGCGUAAAGAGCGCGCAGGCGGUCGUUCAAGUCGCGUGUGAAAGCCCCCGGCUCAACUGGGGAGGGUCACGCGAUACUGAUCGACUCGAAGGCAGGAGAGGGUAGUGGAAUUCCCGGUGUAGUGGUGAAAUGCGUAGAGAUGCGGAGGAACACCGAUGGCGAAGGCAGCCCCCUGGGCUGACACUGACGCUCAGGCACGAAAGCGUGGGGAGCAAACAGG
RNAcentral lists this ribosomal RNA (253 nucleotides) under uncultured bacterium. RNAcentral's name for it is "partial 16S ribosomal RNA". It matches the Rfam family "Bacterial small subunit ribosomal RNA", at positions 524 to 776 of the family's 1533-position model. The record is from RNAcentral.